ACUUCAGACUUUAUUACAAAGCGACAGUCAUUGAAACAGUAUGGUACUGGCACAAAAACAGAAAUACAGAUCAGUGGAACAGGAUAGAAAGCCCAGAAAUAAAUCCAUGCACAUAGGUCAAUUAAUCUACCACAAAGGAGGCAAAAUAUACAAUGGAUUAAGGUGCUGGAAACGUUGGACAGCUCCAUGUAAAAGAAUGAAAUUAGAACGCUCUCUAACACAUAAACAAAAAUAAACUCGCAAUGAUCCCACUCCUGAGCAUCUAUCCAGAGAAAACCUUGACUCGCAAAGACACACAUACUCCGAUGUUCAUUGCAGCACUAUUUUCAAGAGCCAAGACACAGAAACCACCUAAAUGCCCAUCAACAGAGGAGUGGAUCAAGAAGAUGUGGUCCAUACACACAAUGGAAUAUUACUCAGGCAUUAGGAGGAAUGAAAUGCCAGCAUUUUUAGCCACAUGGAUGGACCUAGAAAAUAUCAUGCUAAGUGAAGUCAGUCAGACAAUGAGACACCAACAUCAAAUGCUUUCCCUGACGUGGAAUCUGAAAAAAGGACAGAAUAAACUUCUUUUCAGAACAGAUACUGACUCACAGACUUUCAAAAGCGUGUGGUCUCCGAAGGAGACAGUGUGGGGGGUGGGGGGAUGCGCUGGGGGUGUGGGAUGGAAAUCCUACAAAAUUGGAUUGUGAUGCUCAUUGUACAACUAUAAAUGUAAUAAAAUUCCUUGAGUAAUAAAAAAGAAGAAAGACAAAAAAAUUAAAAUAAUGAAAAAAAACCUCAAAAUGGAUUAAAGACCUAAAGUAAGGCCAGAUACCUGUAAGUCUCUUAGAGGGAAACAUAGGUAGAAUGUUCUUUGACGUAAAUCACAACAGUGUCUUUUUUGAUCCACCUCCUACAGUAAUGAAAAUAAAACACAAAUAAACAAAUAGGACCUAAUUAAACUUUUGCCCAGCAAAUGAAACUAUAAAAAAAAAAGGCAACCCAUAGAAUGGGUGAAAUUCUUUGCAAAUGAAGUAACUGACAAGGGAUUAAUCUCCAACAUAUACAAAUGUCUCAUACAGCUUUGUAUCAAAAAAAUAAACAGCACAAUUUUAAAAUGGUCAGAAGUUCUUGGAGUUCCCGUGGCACAGUGGUUAAUGAAUCCGACGAGGAACCAUGAGGUUGCCGGUUCAAUCCCUGGCCUUUCUCAGUGGGUUAAGGAUCCUGUGUUGCCAUGAGCUGUGGUGUAGGUCACAGACGCGGCUCAGAUCCAGCGUUGCUGUGGCUGUGGUGUAAGCCAGCAGCUGCAGCUCUGAUUCGACCCCUAGCCUGGGAACCUCCAUAUGCCGCGGGAGUGGCCCUAGAAAAAGGCAAAAAGACAAAAAAUAAAAAUAAAAAAUAAAAUAAAACGGUCAGAAGAUCUAAAUAGACAUUUCUCCAAAGAAGACACAGUAGCCAAAAAGCACAUGAAAAAAUGCUCAGCGUCCUAACUAUUAGAGGAAUGCAAUCAAAACUGCAAUGAGGUAUCAUCUCACACUGGUCAGAAUGGCCAUCAUCAAAAGUCCACAGACAAUAAACGUGGGCUGUGGAGAAAAGGGAACCUCCUACACUUUUGGUGGGAAUAUAAAAUGCUACAACCACUGCUGAAAACUGUAUGGAGGUUUCUCAGAAAACUAAGUAUAGAACUGCAGGUGAUUCAGCAAUACAGCUCCUGGAAAACCAUAAUCCAAAAAAUACAUGCAACCCACUGUUCACUGCUGUCCCAUCUGCAACAGCCAAGACAUGGGAGCAACCGCAGUGUCUAUUGACAGGGGAGUGGAUCAAGCUGUGGUGCAUGAGAAUUCCCACCGUGCCUCAGCAGGAUGAACCCAACGAGUAUCUCUGAGUAUGUGGGUUUGAUCUCCGGCCUUGCUGUGAGUUGCAGUGUAGGUCACAGAUGUGGCUUGGCCCAUGUUGCUAUGGCUGUGGCUGUAGCUGGCAGCUGCAGCUCUGACUCAACCCCUAGCCUGAGAACUUCUAUAUGCCAUGGGUGUGGCCCUAAAAGCAAAAAGCAAAAAAAAAAAAAAAAAAAAAAAAAAAAGGAUAUGGUUCCCAUAUACAGUGGAAUACUGCUCAGCCGUAAAAAAGAAUGAAAAAAUGCCAUUUGCAGCACCAUGGAUGGACCUGGAAAUUAUCCCGCAAAGUGAGGUAAAUCAGAUAAAGACAAACGUCAUAUGAGAUCAUUCAUAUGUGGACUCUAACCCGUGGCACAUGGGGGUCCCAGGCGAGGGGUCCAAUCGAAGCGACAUCUGCCUGCCUCCACCACAGCCACAGCCACGCGGGAUCCGAGCCGCAUCUGCGACCUGCACCACAGCUCACGGCAACGCCGGCUCCUUAACCCCCUGAGCGAGGCCAGGGACGGAACCUGCGUCCUCAUGGAUACUAGUCGGAUUCGUUUCCACCGCACCACGACGGGAACGCCCCAGACUCGGAGAUUCUGAAAAGGAACUUAUGGUUCCCAAAGUGGAAACGCCGAGGAGGAGGAUGAGCUGGGAAGUUGGGACCAAGGCGUACACACUCCCGUAUAGAAAAUAGCUGAGCACCAAGGAUCUGCUGUGCAGCGCAGGGAGCUCCGCUCAGUGCCACGUCGCAACCGACGGGAAAAGAACCUGAAAAAGAACGGGUGUGUGUGUGCAUAGAACUGAGUCACUCUGCCGCACGCCUGAAACUGACACAACUUUGAGAGUCCACUACACUCCAAUGAAAUCUUUCAAAUCUCUCUCACACACACCUGAACACAUCACCUCAGAAGUCCCAGAUCUCGUCCUCUAAAUAAUCUAAACCAGGGACGGUGAGGCUCUGGGCGUCCGUCCUGUGCGCAUCCCUCUUUGUCUGUGAACAGCUGACGCUCAAGAAACAAGUCAUCUUCCCCCAAAAUACACUGUCGGGACAGGCCUAUGCUAACAGUUUUGGAUAUUUCAAAAUGGGGGGAAAUGGAGGGAAAAAAGGAGUCUCGUGUCCCAAGCAAUUUCAACCUCCAGACAAACAGCUUUCCGCUUCAGGGUCCGAGCAGAAUCCUGUGUGGCUCCCAGGUCUGCCCUUGGCUCAUGGCUCCGCUCUGAAUUAUCCUCCCCUUUUCCUGAAGGGUAGCAGGACUUUGCCGGUAAGUAGCUCUAUCAGCUUGUUUCCCGCCAGGAGAAUUGGGGGGAGGCCCAAAGGUCUUCUCUCAGCUUUCAUUUCAGGCUGGAACUCAGUGUUUCUGCUGCUGGCAUAUGCUCAAGAACUUUGUGUGUCUCCACUGGACAAGGGGUCCCCCUGCACUAUUUCCUAGACAAUCCUGCAUCUACUGCCGGCUUCUGCUGAGACUGCUGAGGGGUCCUUCCUCUAACCUCUUCAAAGAUCCUCUGGGAUUGAAUACUGGCCUUUCUACCCUCCAAGGUAUUAGCAAAAAGGUUGUCCAGCCGCACCCCCAGCUUUCUUUCCAGACCACACGUGCGUGUGUUUGCACCGAGCUUCACAUUCUGCAACACCACUGACGGCAGGCACCCACUGUACCACCUGCACACACACGCUGCAGCACACACAUGCUGCAGCACACACCCACCCCGUGCUCACGGGCACACGCGAACCUCACAGCACAUACAGACACGUCACGUUGCAAGCACACAGGUUGUCUGCAAACACACCUAGGCAAUACGCACCCCCCACACACCUUAGAGACAUCCUGUAUUCCCACCACAGGUGUGUUACGCAACCCACCCAGAAAUAGCCACACCCACCCCAGGGCGUGUGCUCUGGGCUCACCUGACCAGGUUAGGGCGACUGCUCAGGUGGAGCCAAGAGGGGGCCUGGGACAGGAGGCCAGGCAGGCGGUGCCUGAUAGAAGAGGAAUUGAAAGGCCUGAAGUCGAAACACCAGAACCAGGUACUCUGAAGCAGAGGCUGGAGGAUGGGAGGCCCGGGGCACAUCUCCCAGAGGUCGGGACAAGACAGGGUGGCCCUCCCAGUGGCAGCUGUGUGCCCCUCACCAAGGACACCUCAGAAAGCUGGGGGGAUGGGAUGAGGUGCCCGGAGGGAGCGGCUGUGGGUACACGUCCCCCCCCAGCCUUGACCAUGCUCCUUUUUCUCUGUGGAAAAGGAGCAGGAACUACCUUUGCUGAGGUCCCAGCAGGCACUGAGCCCCUGGGAGGCCCGCAGCCCCGAGGCUGAGCCCCUGGGCGCCCCGGCAAGGCCCCGUCUACUUCUGUGCAGCCCUUCCAAGUCAGCAGGAAGGACACAGAGGCGGCGCUCCCCGGCCGGAGUAGGCUCAUGGAGAGCCCAGCCUCGCAGAAGAUGAGAGGUGGACGUGCAUUUCCUACCAAAGCUAACACGAGAAGCCCCAGGAGGCCGGCCCAAGGCCCAGAGGAGAACCUGCACAUGGGCCCAGGGACUUCGUCCUGCUUCCUUUGAGGUCUGUUGCUCAGGACCCGCCCAGCCUCAGGGCUAGCCUCCUCCGGGCCUCCCAAUCCGUGUUUUGCAGCCACUGGUCCCGGCAGGCCCUUGUGCGGCCACUGUCCUGUCCCCGCUUCGUUAAGGGCCACACCCCCGGCUCUGCCAGCCGAGCUUCUCUUUGAUGCCUCUUCUCAGGGUGGAGCCACAGGCUCUGGAAAAGGCCGACCAGAGACAAGUCAUCUGAACUCUGGGCCCCGGUUUCUCCACCUGUAGAACAGGCACCAGGUACUGAGCACGGGGCUUCGGGCAAUCAGCAAGACGGCGUGUGAGCGCGCACAGCUGCCUUAAUGGGUCACCUCAGACUCGGGCAUAACUGGCAGAGGUCCAUUCCCUGAGGUCUGGAGGCCAGACACCCAGGUCCCGCCAGGGCUGCGCUCCCCGACGGCUCUGGGGGGCCUUCCUGCCUCCUCUAGCACCUGCAUCUCUCCAUCUUCAGGUGCUUCUCCUCCUCAACCUGUGUCUCCUCUCCUGUCUCCGAGCGCCUGCCUUUCUCCUUGUCACUGGAUUCAGAGCCCCCCCAGUAACCCAGGGGGACCUCGUCUCAAGACCCCUCACCUCAAUGACACCUGUAAAGGCCAUUUUCCAAGUGGGGUCCCGCUCACGUUCUGCGAAUCAGGAGGGGACGUCUUUGGGGCCCGGCCAGCUGCCACCGCAGAAAGUUCAAUGUCCACGUGGAAGCGCCCAGCACAAAGCAGGGACUGGAGAAGGCAGCUGCCGGUGUUGUCGUGGAAGGGGUGGACUUGACCCAGCGCCAGCAGCCCCACACGGCGGGGGUCGCUUCCUCCUCCACCAUCACCCCAGGCCCCAUCGCCGGCGCCGGCCCUCCGAGAGCUGCUCUGCUCCCCACACCGGCAUCUCCCU
This 5309-nucleotide long non-coding RNA is filed under the name Sus scrofa (pig). Its description in RNAcentral is "lncRNA (ENSSSCG00000052544.1)". Lineage: Eukaryota; Metazoa; Chordata; Mammalia; Artiodactyla; Suidae. The record is from RNAcentral.